Rhincodon typus (whale shark) is the source of this 129-nucleotide small nucleolar RNA. RefSeq annotates it as small nucleolar RNA SNORA3/SNORA45 family. The record is from RefSeq and is a predicted model, not a curated record. The transcript has a single exon. Lineage: Eukaryota; Metazoa; Chordata; Chondrichthyes; Orectolobiformes; Rhincodontidae.
AACGAGACUAGAGUCACACCCUGACACUUCCUGUGGUCCUGGUGUGCUGUUGUUCUCGAAAAUUGAAUACUACUGUUAUUCACUGGCUGGAGCUUCUAGUAGCAGUCAGUUACCAGGUUAGUGACACUA